UACGUAGGGCGCAAGCGUUGUCCGGAAUUAUUGGGCGUAAAGAGCGUGUAGGCGGCUCGGUAAGUCCGCUGUGAAAGUCCAGGGCUCAACCCUGGAAUGCCGGUGGAAACUGUCGAGCUAGAGUCCGGAAGAGGCGAGUGGAAUUCCUGGUGUAGCGGUGAAAUGCGCAGAUAUCAGGAGGAACACCAAUGGCGAAGGCAGCUCGCUGGGACGGUACUGACGCUGAGACGCGAAAGCGUGGGGAGCAAACAGG
This 253-nucleotide ribosomal RNA is filed under the name uncultured bacterium. RNAcentral's name for it is "partial 16S ribosomal RNA". It matches the Rfam family "Bacterial small subunit ribosomal RNA", at positions 524 to 776 of the family's 1533-position model. The record is from RNAcentral.